Molecule: non-coding RNA, 2036 nt
Organism: Coturnix japonica (Japanese quail)
Lineage: Eukaryota; Metazoa; Chordata; Aves; Galliformes; Phasianidae
Source: RefSeq, a predicted model, not a curated record
UGGAUGAUGCUGGAAGUUGUCAGUGUGCCAACACCAAAGCUUCCAUCAGAGACAGUAUCAUCCUCCAGCCUGCUUUUGUCCUCACCAGAUUCAGAACUACAGAUAUUACAAAGAGAGGGCCAAACAAAGAGCUUUGUGGUGCGUGCAAGGAUGAAGUGUGUCCAAAGUGACCAGCAGAAAUUCCUUCCAACAUCAGCUUGCCAACACUGAAUCUGCUAAGUACCACAUAAACAGCUAUUAUCUGUACAACUGUGAAACACGUGUAUGUGAGAUCACGUAUGUUUAUUUUUGAACAAGAAAGUAUUAAUUUUCUGUUGAAGUCUGGAUGCCAACUGUUCCGCUUUCAUCCAAGCUUCUUUUUGUCUGCACCGAUAAGAAACCCUACCACGAUCUAUCUCUGACUGGUCCUUUUGUUUUUGCCUCCUGCUGUUACACUGACUGUUGAUCUGGCUGAGAAAGUAAAAAUGAAAGGAGCGACUUUGAAGAAAUACCAUGCUUCAUCUGUCCUUUGGAAAAUGAAAAUGGUUUGAAGAUUAUUGCAAAAAAGAAAAGGAGGACAACAAUCCUCCAUUUCUUCUGUCCACUGCUAGAACAGUAAGAAUCACAGAAUCACAGAAUGACCUGGGUUGGAAGGGACCUCAAGGAUCAUGAAGUUCCAACCCUCCCACCUAAGAAAACCAACCACCUGCACUGGGCAGCACUGGGAGGCAUCCUGGAGUUUUCCAAGUCCAUGGAAAACCAGACAAUUGAAACACUCUCCAAUUUCAAAAUGUGAAAAAAGGGGAGGAAUUAUUAUGCUAUUAAACAUCAUGCACCAAUUAUAAUCAUCUUUAAUUCAUGUAAAAACCCAGCAAAAGAACUUACUGGCAUGCAUAUACAACUCAAGUUCCACUAACCGCUAGCUGCAUGCAUUUCCUUUUUAAAAUAGCUGGAGUUACCAAAGUUCCUCCUUGACUUUGCACCUUCAGUUUAUAUUUUCACCCCUGUUUUUAGAAAUGUAUUGGUUAUACUAAAUCACGGCAUCUCAUUACCUGGACAGAUAAUGAAUUUUAUUUUCAGUCAGUCUCCUGUCUGGUUAAAACAAAAGGUUUAGCUCAUGAAAUAUAGUAAAAGGCAUUUCCAGUGCAUAAUGCAAAUCAAGUGUUAGAGCUUCACUCUUCUCUGUCCUGAAAACCACACUGCCAACUAACCUGUGCUGUUUCACUGACCGCACAGUCUGCAGCCAAAAUAUCUUCUCGGUUACUUGAAUCUGAAGCUUCACUCCUUCAGAAGUUGGUAUUGUGAUUUGUGUACCAGGAAAUAGCUUAUCUGUGUUAUACACUUUUGGCACCAGAAUAUCUAUCAUCUAAUAACAGGGUUGGUAUGGGACAUCUUAAAAUGGAUUUUUUAUGUGGCAAUAAUAAUCAAGAUUUUACAAGUGUAAAACUUGUCUUAAUGAAUGCAAAGCUGUCUGGCCACUAUGUCAACUGACAUAGAAUUUCUUGCUCUCUGCUCUCCAAUCUUUGAAAAAGUUCUACAGAAUCAGGGAAGACAGUCAUGUGUAUAAUAUGGAUGAUAACAAUGUGUAUGAAAAUGUUUGAUUUGAAUUUCUUGAUUUUUUGUUUUCUGGUUUUCCCCUUCUAGUACCUUCUAUAUCUCAGACCAUCUACAUUGGAGUUUCUUUUUGUCUCUAGAAGAAAAAUCUUCCAGUUAUAUUUGCAUUGCUUUAAAGUUCUUUAAGAUAAAAAUUUAGUAAUUCUCUGGAACUUUAUCUACUCCAGUAAGACUAUGAAAAUAAGCAUGAAUGAGAGAGAACAUGACCUGGCAAUUCUUACAGGCUGUGAAAUUUCAGCACCUUACUUUCUGAGCACCUGCCUUUGCAAUCGCAGAAACAUUUUGCUUUGCAGUGUCAUAGAUCUUCUACUGGUCCACUUUUUCUUUUCAUGACUUUAUGGGAAAUUACAUUGGCUUCAGGAGCACACUUGCACUGUGUGUACUCUACCUUGGUCUCUCCACUUCAUAAAUCAUCUCUAAAUUUUUAUCAAAGUCGAUGUCAG